This 328-nucleotide ribosomal RNA is filed under the name uncultured eukaryote. Its description in RNAcentral is "partial 18S ribosomal RNA". It matches the Rfam family "Eukaryotic small subunit ribosomal RNA", at positions 1470 to 1796 of the family's 1831-position model. The record is from RNAcentral.
CCCUUAGAUGUCCUGGGCCGCACGCGCGUUACACUGAUGCAUUCAACGAGCUUAUAACCUUGGCCGAGAGGCCUGGGCAAUCUUGUUAACGUGCAUCGUGAUAGGGAUAGAUUAUUGAAAUUAUUAAUCUUGAACGAGGAAUUCCUAGUAAACGCAGAUCAUCAAUCUGCAUUGAUUACGUCCCUGCCCUUUGUACACACCGCCCGUCGCACCUACCGAUUGGAUGGUCCGGUGAAGCCACGGGAUUGUGGUUCUUGCCGCUUUAUUGUGGCGUGACCGCGAGAACUUGUCUAAACCUUAUCAUCUAGAGGAAGGUGAAGUCGUAACA